UACGUAGGGUGCGAGCGUUGUCCGGAAUUACUGGGCGUAAAGCGCACGUAGGCGGCUUUCUAAGUCGGAGGUGAAAUCCUGGAGCUCAACUCCAGAACUGCCUUCGAUACUGGAGAGCUUGAGUCCGGGAGAGGUGAGUGGAACUGCGAGUGUAGAGGUGAAAUUCGUAGAUAUUCGCAAGAACACCAGUGGCGAAGGCGGCUCACUGGCCCGGUACUGACGCUGAGGUGCGAAAGCGUGGGGAGCAAACAGG
RNAcentral lists this ribosomal RNA (253 nucleotides) under uncultured bacterium. Its description in RNAcentral is "partial 16S ribosomal RNA". It matches the Rfam family "Bacterial small subunit ribosomal RNA", at positions 524 to 776 of the family's 1533-position model. The record is from RNAcentral.